This 512-nucleotide unclassified non-coding RNA is filed under the name Hevea brasiliensis (rubber tree). The record is from RNAcentral. Lineage: Eukaryota; Viridiplantae; Streptophyta; Magnoliopsida; Malpighiales; Euphorbiaceae.
GUGAUGUCUACAACUUGUCUACCCUGGGUUUUACCCCCAAGAACACCUCUCUUACGAAACCAAACUUCACCCUUAACACCAAAACACUUCCGGUCGCUAUUCUCCGUUUCCUCAAAUACUUGAUAUGGGUAUAUGAUCACAGGAAGCAGGAAGGAAAAUGGGGAUCUGGGAAUGGGCACAGGUGGAGGAGAGGAGUAGUUGUUAUAUAGAUAAAAGGAAAGAGGCAGUUGUGGCUAUGAUUGCCGUGAGGUGUAUAUUGUUAGUGAUGCAACUGUGAAACUUGAAAAUGAUUUGUAACAGAGCGGGGGGACAGGUGAGUCGUGCCUUCUGGUUCACCCGUACCGCCUGUAGGGUUGGCCGGAGAGGGACCACGCGGGCGUAUGGAUAGGGAAAACACCGGGACCACUCCUUGCUUGGAUUUAUAUCGUUCGGAGGAGGGAAUUGCUAAAGCGAAAAUGCUAAUUAGGAGUUUAAAUAAUAUUCUUUCCGUUCUCUUCUUAAUUCCAGAGUUG